AGAGUUUGAUCCUGGCUCAGGACGAACGCUGGCGGCGUGCCUAACACAUGCAAGUCGAACGAAGCAUAGUAAUAUGCUUAGUGGCGGACGGGUGAGUAACGCGUGAACAAUCUGCCCUAUACAAAGGAAUAGCCUCGGGAAACUGGGAUUAAAACCAUAUAACACUUUUCUUUCGCAUGGAAGAGAAGUCAAAUUGAUUAAGAGGUAUAGGAUGAGUUCGCGUCUGAUUAGCUAGUUGGUGAGGUAAUGGCUCACCAAGGCGACGAUCAGUAGCCGGCCUGAGAGGGUGAACGGCCACACUGGAACUGAGACACGGUCCAGACUCCUACGGGAGGCAGCAGUGGGGAAUAUUGCACAAUGGGCGAAAGCCUGAUGCAGCGACGCCGCGUGAGUGAAGAAGGUCUUCGGAUCGUAAAACUCUGUCCUUGGUGAAGAAAAAAAUGACGGUAGCCAAGGAGGAAGCCCCGGCUAACUACGUGCCAGCAGCCGCGGUAAUACGUAGGGGGCGAGCGUUGUCCGGAUUUACUGGGCGUAAAGGGUGAGUAGGCGGUUGUAUGUGUCAGAUGUAAAAGGCUAUGGCUUAACCAUAGUUGGCAUUUGAAACUGUACAACUUGAGUGCAGGAGAGGUAAGUGGAAUUCCUAGUGUAGCGGUGAAAUGCGUAGAUAUUAGGAGGAACACCAGUGGCGAAGGCGACUUACUGGACUGUAACUGACGCUGAGUCACGAAAGCGUGGGUAGCAAACAGGAUUAGAUACCCUGGUAGUCCACGCUGUAAACGAUGAGUGCUAGGUGUUGGGUAGCGAUAUUCAGUGCCGAAGUUAACACAAUAAGCACUCCGCCUGGGAGA
Molecule: ribosomal RNA, 848 nt
Filed under: bacterium enrichment culture clone L:1850:Ti:1
Lineage: Bacteria
Description: bacterial SSU rRNA
Rfam family: Bacterial small subunit ribosomal RNA
Source: RNAcentral